CACGCGGUGAGUGAUGGAGGAGGAUAUAUACUGCUGUGUACUCGACCAGCGGGUGAGAGGUGGCAAAUUCUCUGAGCUGGCACGUUGAUUGGUUAGUCUUCAACUGCCUCCCAACAUGGUAGUGAGGUCCUGAGCUGACAUGCAGUGAGGAA
Molecule: long non-coding RNA, 152 nt
Organism: Procambarus clarkii (red swamp crayfish)
Lineage: Eukaryota; Metazoa; Arthropoda; Malacostraca; Decapoda; Cambaridae
Source: RefSeq, a predicted model, not a curated record